CAGCAGCCGCGGGAAUACGUAGGGUGCAAGCGUUAAUCGGAAUUACUGGGCGUAAAGCGUGCGCAGGCGGUGUUGUAAGACUGAUGUGAAAUCCCCGGGCUCAACCUGGGAGCUGCAUUGGUGACUGCAACGCUGGAGUGCGGCAGAGGGGGAUGGAAUUCCGCGUGUAGCAGUGAAAUGCGUAGAUAUGCGGAGGAACACCGAUGGCGAAGGCAAUCCCCUGGGCCUGCACUGACGCUCAUGCACGAAAGCGUGGGGAGCAAACAGGAUUAGAUACCCGCGUAGUCCCUGUCUCUUAUAC
RNAcentral lists this ribosomal RNA (301 nucleotides) under uncultured bacterium. RNAcentral's name for it is "partial 16S ribosomal RNA". It matches the Rfam family "Bacterial small subunit ribosomal RNA", at positions 509 to 807 of the family's 1533-position model. The record is from RNAcentral.